AUACGGAGGGGACUAGCGUUGUUCGGAAUUACUGGGCGUAAAGCGUACGUAGGCGGAUCAGAAAGUAUGGGGUGAAAUCCCAGGGCUCAACCCUGGAACUGCCUCAUAAACUCCUGAUCUUGAGUUCGAGAGAGGUGAGUGGAAUUCCGAGUGUAGAGGUGAAAUUCGUAGAUAUUCGGGGGAACACCAGUGGCGAAGGCGGCUCACUGGCUCGAUACUGACGCUGAGGUACGAAAGUGUGGGGAGCAAACAGGAUUAGAAACCCCGGUAGUCC
Molecule: ribosomal RNA, 274 nt
Filed under: uncultured bacterium
Lineage: Bacteria
Description: partial 16S ribosomal RNA
Rfam family: Bacterial small subunit ribosomal RNA
Source: RNAcentral